AACAAGCAGCAGCUGCUGGGGAGCAGGAGAUUAUUUAGGUGGGCUUCCAGGGGCAUCCUGUAACUGUAGGGUUGAGCUUGUGGGGGCUCUGCUUGGGGUUGUUUGCUGCCUUUGGAUGGGGCUCCUGUCCUGGCUCUCUCUGUCAGAUCUCACUUAGCUACCAGUCCACCCUUGGAUUAUGGGAACUGGUGAGGCCAAGCAUUGGGAAGACACCUUGUCCCUCCUCAGCUUUGCUUCACCACGUGGUGCCAGAUAGGAAGCCUGUUUAGCGAUGUCACUUGUUCCUGCCUUCCCUGGGUGAGGGUGCUCUGUGUGCAAAUGGACAAACACUUCCAUUUGCAAAGGUUCACCAUGUGUUGUAAGCAGAGAAGAGCCAAAGCUUUGGACACUGUCUAUGAAUCUGUGUUGCCACAGAAGUCACUUCUGUCUGCAUGUGCAGCAGUUACACUUCUAACUCAGCUGUCAGAUCUUUCAGAUAUUAUUAACCACUGUGGAAAGCAUAAUGUUCACAGCAGUAUACAUGAACUUUUAUGGGAUCAAAUCCAUUUGCAAUUCUGGAUCCAAAACCUCUCCUGAAAUUGGACUGCUGCCUCAAUAGAGUGGGCAAGAAUGUAGGCGUAUUCAGCAAGCAGCUGCCACCCUGGGGUGGUGAUCCUGGUUUUGGCCUCAGACACAGUGCAAAUGAUGGUAUACUUUAAAAGAUUGUUGUAUGGUCUGUCACUGUUUAGGACAUAUAUCUUGGAAAAAAUCUUGUUAGGCUUGGAGACUUUAAGAUUAGGCAUAAAGCUUUCAGUCAAGAUCUUGUGUAUUUGACCUUCACACUUGUCUUUCACAGCUGUCAGUACAGCAAAGUCAAAAGACUUAAACUGAGCACAGCUCUAGCUGUAUCUAGAGAUGCAGGUAGGGGCAGACUUAAGGAAACAUCUCAGCUCACUUUCUGAAGGGGCGCACUCAUGGCCACCAAAACCAAGAGCAUAGGAUGAUUGAUUCUGCAUCAGUCAAAGCCUGCCUGUAUAGAUAUACCUGUCUACUUGAUCACAAUGUUUAGCACUGAAAGCCAAGUUUAGAAGCCUAUCUGGAGGUUUACAUUACUUGCUGAGCCAAUGCUUUGGCUUGAAAGGACCUCACUAUGCCUGGCAUCUUCCACAAGCACUAAAUUAACACACAAAUACUGAAGAAGGAUGUAAAAAUCAAAACUCUGAAUAUGAUACAGUGAUUUUAUAGAGUUCUGCAUUGCCUUAAAUCCAC
RNAcentral lists this long non-coding RNA (1248 nucleotides) under Anas platyrhynchos platyrhynchos (common mallard). Its description in RNAcentral is "lncRNA (ENSAPLG00000027789.1)". The record is from RNAcentral. Lineage: Eukaryota; Metazoa; Chordata; Aves; Anseriformes; Anatidae.